CCUACGGGAGGCAGCAGUGAGGAAUAUUGGUCAAUGGGCGCGAGGCUGAACCAGCCAAGUCGCGUGAGGGAAGACGGUCCUAUGGAUUGUAAACCUCUUUUGUCGGGGAGCAAAAGACGCCACGUGUGGCGUUCCGAGAGUACCCGAAGAAAAAGCAUCGGCUAACUCCGUGCCAGCAGCCGCGGUAAUACGGAGGAUGCGAGCGUUAUCCGGAUUUAUUGGGUUUAAAGGGUGCGCAGGCGGAAGAGCAAGUCAGCGGUAAAAUUGAGAGGCUCAACCCCUUCGAGCCGUUGAAACUGGUUUUCUUGAGUGAGCGAGAAGUAUGCGGAAUGCGUGGUGUAGCGGUGAAAUGCAUAGAUAUCACGCAGAACUCCGAUUGCGAAGGCAGCAUACCGGCGCUCAACUGACGCUCAUGCACGAAAGUGUGGGUAUCGAACAGGAUUAGAUACCCCUGUAGUC
Molecule: ribosomal RNA, 459 nt
Filed under: uncultured bacterium
Lineage: Bacteria
Description: partial 16S ribosomal RNA
Rfam family: Bacterial small subunit ribosomal RNA
Source: RNAcentral